AAACCAUGAUGAGGGCAUUAGUUUGUAUAGUUUCUAAAUCUUUCCAAUGCUUCCCCAAAGCUCUCAAUGUUGUAUUGGGUAAAGCUUGAAAUUUGAUUCCUCAACUU
Small nucleolar RNA from Eutrema salsugineum, 107 nucleotides. It matches the Rfam family "Plant small nucleolar RNA R71". From Rfam's summary of the family: R71 is a member of the C/D box family of snoRNAs containing the C (UGAUGA) and D (CUGA) box motifs. The record is from Rfam. Lineage: Eukaryota; Viridiplantae; Streptophyta; Magnoliopsida; Brassicales; Brassicaceae.